CUCUGGGUCUCGCACGCAGCAGCUGCAGACGCUGCCCGGCGCGGUGGGGCUGUGAGCAAAACGGCCCGCCGGUGUGGUUGCCCAGACUGUGCUGGGCCCUCCUAGGUGGAUGGCCCUGCCCCAGCCUAACUUCUGUACCCCAGCAUAACCUCCAAAGUAACAGCCGUGCCCUGGGAGCCUGUUCAACACUGAACAUAUCCCACAAUAACACUGUUCCAGCGUCGCUGGUAAAAAGCAGAAAUGGCUUCGCUGGAGGCAUCGACAAAUCUAAUGCAGUAACCUCAUUUUACAGAAGAGAACUCUAAGAGGAUAACUAACUUGGCCAAGAUCACAUGAUGUUUCUGGAUGAGAUUAGCAUUCAAAUUCGUGGACUCAUUAAAGUAGAUGGCUCUCUCCAAUAUGGGUGGGCAUCAUCCAAUCUGUUGAAGGCGUGAAGAGAACAAGAGAAGGAGGAAGGAAGAAUUCACCUUUUUUCUUGCUGCCCACCUGCUUGGGCUGGGACAUUGCAUCUCACCUUCUCCAGCCUUUGGAUGAGGAUUUACACCCUGGUUCUCAGGCCUUCAGGCUCUAACUGGAGCUACACUAUCAACUUUCCUGGGCCUCCAGAUUGCAGAUGGUGGAUCACGGUACUUUUUAGCCUCCAUCAUAAUAUGAGAAAAAAGAGGCACAGUGAAGCUAAAUAUAUUGGCUAAAGAUCACAAAGCUAAUAUCGCUCUUUUCUCUGAAAUUUGCCUGGGGCCGCAGCAUAAAUCUACAGUUACAACCAUGAAGGUAGAAGUUGCUCAUUAAUUCAGAGGGCAGGAACUUGUGAACAUAACUGUUAGAAGAUUAUCAAGGUUAUCUGUGCUCAAUGUGUGCAUCUCAGAUCAGCAGCAUCAGCAUCACCUGGGAGCUUGUUAGAGCUGGAGACUCUCAGGCUCCACGGCAGACUUCCUGAAUCAGAAGCUACAAUUUAACAGGAUCCUCGGGUGAUCUGAAAAUGCAAUAAAGUUUGGGAAGCACUGCUGUUGGUCAUUAGACAAUCUAAUGAACUAAGACUUUUGCCGAGCAUCUGAGUUGAAAUUUUUCAAGAUGAAAAGUUGCUAAAGAAAGAGAAAGGGAAGCGGUUUGCUCCAGUAUUCCUCUUUCCACCUUCCCACUGACUGGGAAGCGGCGGUUAGCAGAGCCACAGUCUUGGAUUAGAGAUAAGAGGGACAUGUUGAGGAAGGUGGAGUCUCCCCCACAGCCCUGGACCAGGCUCCAGUGCCAACAAAAGCCAAGAAGAACCUCUGGAGCAAUCAGUCUUACGGAAUCCCUGUAUUCUAGGAUUUGGCAAGCUGUCCACUGAAACAUUAUUUUUCCCAGCCUUCUUUGCAGAGGUGGGGAAACUGAGGCAAAGGGUGUUUAAAUGGUCUGCCCAAAGUCACACAGCUAAGAAGCAGUGAUGGGAUAUGAAGUCAAACAGUCUUAAAAGCAAGCUAUCCUGUUGCAAAAUAGAAAUUAGUUGAUAACGUCUUCCAGGAGACCUACGGCCAUCCUACUGAUAUGAACCAGAUCAUACCUGCCCUGAUGGGAUGCCAGAGAAAGACUGCUGCAAGGUACGCGCCACUCACAGACCUCUCCAUUUAUCUCACUGAUGCAAAGGACCCUGAGGUAUAAAACAGCAUGAAGAAAAGCAUCCAACUCUUCUUCAUCUGGAUGCCUCACAGCUUCAAGAGCCUAUGUAGCAUCCACUCUUACCCUCCUAGAACCCUGAGACAUUUAUGUGAAAAAGUCUGGGAUAGCCUUCUUGAGAAUGAGAGACGACAUGAGAAGAGAGGCCCAGCCAACUUCUUGCAUCGAUUGCCAGUGAGUGAGAAUGUCUUCGACCAUAUAAUCCCAGUCAAGCCACUGGAAGAAUGCAACCACCUAGGUAACAAUAAACAAGACCAGCAGAAGAGCUGCCCAUCAAUCCCAGCCCCAACUGCUGACCCAUAGAACCAUGAGAAAAUAAAUAGAAAACUGAGACAGAAACUAUUUGCUAAAGAGCAAAAUUGACUAAGUCUUAGAAAAUAUUUGAAUAGUUAUUUGUCCAAGAAGCAAAAGAAUAAAAGUUAUACUCCCUUUUAUAGUAAUAAACCCCUACCUACCCAACUUUUCUGCAGAUAAUAAUUUAAAACUUCAGAAAAAUAGAAAAAUAUCUGAGGGCAAAUAAAAACAGGCAGAUAUUACAGAAGAGUCUAUACUUGAAGAAGGAAAUACCACGAGUUAAGUUUUAUGUUUUUCUUUUUUGUAGCUUUUAUCCUGAGAGCAGGCUAUAGCUGGUGCGACAUGGGGGGUCACUGAAACUCAGAUAGAAACCCACAGUUUUCCUGGCUUGCAGAACCAAAUGUCAGAGUUCAAGGUGGCCACAGCUUCUUGAAAAUAAGAGGGAAAUUCCAUGAAGGAGAUAAUCAGAGAGAAAGAAAGAGAGAGAAAGAGAGAGAGAGAGGGAGAAAGAGAGGACACCCAAAUGUUGCCUAGAAAUUUCUGGUUGAACCCUAUGUCUCACAUUUGUGGGACAGAGCUCAGGCCUCUCAGCUGAGGCUAAGAAAACAACUUGGAUUUGAGCUGCUGCCUACUUCAGGGCAUACAGAAUUUGCAAUUUGAAUUCAGCCAAGAUACCUGCCUGCCUAGAAAAAGCUGCACAAUAUUCUUUAGAACAGCAUAACAGAAUACAGAGUCUCUUCAAUAUAUCAUUUAUAAUAGACAGAAUACAUUCCAAAAUUGCUCAACAUUUGAAGAAAAAAAAAGACCCAUUCUGAAGAGAAAAAAGAACAAUUUGAAGAUAAUACAGGUGAUAGAAUUGGCAGACUAGAUUUUAAAGUGGUUAUUGUAGCUAUACUUAAGGACAUAAAGAAAAACAUAUUCCUAAUGAAUGAAAAGAUAAGAAAGCUCAAUAAAGAACUAAAAACUAUUUUUUUCUUAAAAGAACCAAAUAAAAAUUCUAGAAUUAAAAAUUACAGUAUCUAAAAUAAAAAAUUUACUGAUUGGCCUUAACAGUAAAAUAGAAAUAACAGAAAAGUUAGUAAGCUUUAAAAUCAUUCAAUAGAAGUUAUUCAAUGUGCAGAACAGAGAGAAGAGACAUUGAAAAACAAUGGGCAGGUCCUCUGGGAACAGUGGACAAUAUCAAUAGGUCUAAUACGUAUGUAACUGGAGUCUGAGAAGGAGAAGAGAAAAAAAUUGGUCAGAAAAAAUAUUUGAAAAAAAGUAAAAGGUGAAAAUUAUUCAAAUUUAGAGAAAGGCAUAAAGUUACAAAUUUAGGAAGGAGAGCAAUCCCCAAGCAGAAGAGGAUUAAACACACACCUACACAUGCCCACACACACACAGGAACAUCAGAGUCAAACUGCUAAAAACCAGAGAACACAAAGGAUCUUAUUGUAGACUCAUUCUACACCAAAUAAAAUACUACAUCCAGAGUUUCAUGAACUGUUUUUAUUCAGGAAAUUUUCAGUGUAGGAUAAAUUGCUGCUUUUCACUGGAGACACAAAUCCUGGGUGUGAGGAGUUCAUCCACACAGUCAGGGCCCCAGGAGGUGGGUGGUUGAGGAGGAGACUACCAGUCUUUCACUUCCAUUUCAGCUGGGGAAGAGCUUCUGGAGGAGACAGGAUGCUGUGAGCUCUCUGGAAGACAGAAAGAUUUUGACAUAAAUAACUCUAAAAUCAGGGAAAGAGAAGUGAGAUCCUCAUGGUAAUCUUGAGAAUGACCCAACCAGAGAAUCUAGUGCCUUGGAGCCAAGGGAGUUUUUGAAAUGGAAUUAGCAGAAAGAAAUCUGGGGGGAAUGGGGAAGGCCCAGAAGAUUUUGAUCCUUACAGCAUGUAUUUCCUCAUAUGCUUUCCCUCCUUUCUCCCACAAUUUAGCAUAACCCUAUUCAGGGUGGAUCACUUUGAAACAUAGGGAGGUAGAUUCUUUCCCUUCCUUUUCACCAAUAGAUCAGAGAUGUCUGGAGGUAGCUGCCUUGGGGAAUGUGUGGCCUUGUUUUGACAAAUGUGGACCUCUUAGUUCAUAGAGGAUGAUGUUAAUAAUUGAAAACAAAUAAAUAACAAAACCUCCAAAUGUAAAC
This 4060-nucleotide long non-coding RNA is filed under the name Homo sapiens (human). RNAcentral's name for it is "HSALNT0089400". Lineage: Eukaryota; Metazoa; Chordata; Mammalia; Primates; Hominidae. The record is from RNAcentral.